RNAcentral lists this ribosomal RNA (137 nucleotides) under Acinetobacter sp. SwsAc3. RNAcentral describes it as "partial 16S ribosomal RNA". The stretch from base 40 to 137 matches the Rfam family "Bacterial small subunit ribosomal RNA", at positions 1 to 97 of the family's 1533-position model. Lineage: Bacteria; Pseudomonadati; Pseudomonadota; Gammaproteobacteria; Moraxellales; Moraxellaceae. The record is from RNAcentral.
GAUGAGCCAAGAUUUGUAGCCAUAAGCUAUUAAUGAUUUUAACUGAAGAGUUUGAUCAUGGCUCAGAUUGAACGCUGGCGGCAGGCUUAACACAUGCAAGUCGAGCGGGGAAGGGUAGCUUGCUACCUGACCUAGCG